GAUUUUUCCAAAUUCUUUUUAUCUAAAAAUCCCCUUGAAAACACGGUUAUAGAGCGUGCAUACCGAUGUAAACAUUGGCAGAAACACACCUUUAGUUUAUAUAAGUGAUAUCUAUCAUUAUAUAUAACUUAAACAUUAAUUUUCUUCUUAC
Molecule: long non-coding RNA, 151 nt
Organism: Octopus sinensis (East Asian common octopus)
Lineage: Eukaryota; Metazoa; Mollusca; Cephalopoda; Octopoda; Octopodidae
Exons: 3
Source: RefSeq, a predicted model, not a curated record